Long non-coding RNA from Cornus florida, 1004 nucleotides. RefSeq lists it as uncharacterized. The transcript has 2 exons. The record is from RefSeq and is a predicted model, not a curated record. Lineage: Eukaryota; Viridiplantae; Streptophyta; Magnoliopsida; Cornales; Cornaceae.
AUUGGACAAGCAAGCUUCUGAUCGGCAGCAAAUACCAGAAAUUAGAAAUUUUGCCGACAGUGAAGACACGGUGGUUAUGACGAGGACGGCGGCCAGAGAGAAGUUUAGGUCCCUUUAAUUCUGCGCGAUUCCGAAAUUUUGAAACAGAUGGAUGAAUUAGAGAGGCAAUCGAUGAAGCUGCAAAGGCAAAGACUCACCGAGAUCGGAGAUUGGAACUGCUUAGUGGCCAGAAUGGAAAAGUGAUUAUUUUUAAGAAUUUUUUUGAUGGGAAUUGCCCAAUUCUUUAAGGAGAAAGAACAAAUUGGGUCUUUAUUGAGAAUUGCUUUGUCAAGAAGGAUGUAAGGAUUAAGAAAAAUACCCUUUUGUCGGAGGGUUCUUGUGCUGCUGGGGCCUUUCGUCGGAUUCACUCGGCGGGAAAGAAAGAGGCAUAGCUGGACUCGUAGACUCGACCAUGACUUUGGGCCCUCUUUCUGUUCUCCGCGGCGGAGGCAGUAACGGCGCCGAUCUCCUCCUUUGGGUGCCCCACCGCAAACGGGCCUCUAUGAGAAUCAGAAGAUCCAGCAAUAUAUUGGCGACCACUUCUUCAUCGGAGGAAGCAGAGAGAGUGGGAAUUGCGGCGGCGGCGGCAGUUUUGAUCAUAACUUUCUUCUUAAAGUUUACGGAUUUUAAGACAAUCUUCAUGAAUGCAAUAUCAACGAAAGAGGGCUCAAGAAGAUUGAUGCGGCAAUCAACCACUUUUAAAUGGAAUUUUGGACACGAUUAGAGGAUUUUAUAAUUUUAAUUUCUUAAGAAUUAUUUUCCAAUUGAGCCUAAUUUGGCUCAAUUGAUGACGACCACUUUUUCUAUUUUCAGUGGUAGUCUCUUUAGAUUAGUAUUCAGUAUUCCUUUUCAACCAAUUUUUAUGUUUUUUUGGUUCAAGUAAACUAUUAUUUGAGGUGAUUAGGGUUUUGAAUCAUAAUAUUGGUAUCGAUUUGUUUGAUCCAUUAUGAUCAGUUCAAAGCUAA